UACGUAGGGUGCGAGCGUUGUCCGGAAUUACUGGGCGUAAAGAGCUCGUAGGUGGUUUGUCACGUCGUCUGUGAAAUUCCGGGGCUUAACCUCGGGCGUGCAGGCGAUACGGGCAAUACUUGAGUGCUGUAGGGGAGACUGGAAUUCCUGGUGUAGCGGUGAAAUGCGCAGAUAUCAGGAGGAACACCGAUGGCGAAGGCAGAUCUCUGGGCCGUUACUGACGCUGAGGAGCGAAAGCAUGGGGAGCGAACAGGAUUAGA
RNAcentral lists this ribosomal RNA (260 nucleotides) under uncultured prokaryote. Its description in RNAcentral is "partial 16S ribosomal RNA". It matches the Rfam family "Bacterial small subunit ribosomal RNA", at positions 524 to 782 of the family's 1533-position model. The record is from RNAcentral.